UAGAGUGAUCAACUAUUCUGGUUUGUCCAGAACAUGAGACCUUCAGUACUAAAAUUAGGCAAGUCCCAGGCAAACAGGGAUGAGUUGUUUACUUCAAAUUUUA
RNAcentral lists this microRNA precursor (103 nucleotides) under Marmota monax (woodchuck). Lineage: Eukaryota; Metazoa; Chordata; Mammalia; Rodentia; Sciuridae. The record is from RNAcentral.